UGGCAUUCCAGAACAUGUCCGGUUGGAAUUUCUCCCAAUAAAAUGUGUUCAAAGCAUUGUGAAGCAACCACAGAGAAACUGAAGCACAACCACAGGUGAGUCACAGUCAAAAAGGGUCAGGAGCUUUAGAAAAAUUCAUGUUUAACUCUUUGAACAAGAUUUACAAAAACCUAUUUGAGAUGACAGGGAAGGCUCGUGUGUUGUUACCAAAAAAAGCUCUGAAAAAACUUGAGACCUUAUAACCCAGCUUGUUCAUUGAGAUCAUCAAGAGUCCUGUUAGCUGCCUGGAAUAUUACAUAUGACAGAUUGGUUUAAAUAAUUUGCUGCGUGUUUCCCCCCGCCCCCCAGUAUUCCUCCCAGAAAGAAACAGGAAAGUGCCCCCCCAUUUCACCUCAACUUGCUUCCUUUCAAUGUUGUUGCAGAGAGACAGAUUCUAAGCCUGUGACUAGUAACAAAAAGUUACAGCUUCCACCAAAACUGUGGUCCAAGGAUGCAGCCUUAAGAAAACAUCUCACGCUUAAGCAAUCUGCAGAAUUUCUGAUUUUGACCAGACAACAACCGUGCUCAGAGUCUCUGGAAAACUCUCCUUUCAGUGCCAGCUUUAAUUGACUGCCUAUGAACUAAGAAAUGCCUGCCAGGUGGCCAGGCAGUCUCAGUGUUCCUCCAAAUAAAAACACAGGCC
Molecule: non-coding RNA, 682 nt
Organism: Podarcis lilfordi (Lilford's wall lizard)
Lineage: Eukaryota; Metazoa; Chordata; Lepidosauria; Squamata; Lacertidae
Source: the annotation of a GenBank genome assembly